This 2902-nucleotide ribosomal RNA is filed under the name Escherichia coli. RNAcentral's name for it is "23S ribosomal RNA". It matches the Rfam family "Bacterial large subunit ribosomal RNA". Lineage: Bacteria; Pseudomonadati; Pseudomonadota; Gammaproteobacteria; Enterobacterales; Enterobacteriaceae. The record is from RNAcentral.
UUAAGCGACUAAGCGUACACGGUGGAUGCCCUGGCAGUCAGAGGCGAUGAAGGACGUGCUAAUCUGCGAUAAGCGUCGGUAAGGUGAUAUGAACCGUUAUAACCGGCGAUUUCCGAAUGGGGAAACCCAGUGUGAUUCGUCACACUAUCAUUAACUGAAUCCAUAGGUUAAUGAGGCGAACCGGGGGAACUGAAACAUCUAAGUACCCCGAGGAAAAGAAAUCAACCGAGAUUCCCCCAGUAGCGGCGAGCGAACGGGGAGCAGCCCAGAGCCUGAAUCAGUGUGUGUGUUAGUGGAAGCGUCUGGAAAGGCGUGCGAUACAGGGUGACAGCCCCGUACACAAAAAUGCACAUGCUGUGAGCUCGAUGAGUAGGGCGGGACACGUGGUAUCCUGUCUGAAUAUGGGGGGACCAUCCUCCAAGGCUAAAUACUCCUGACUGACCGAUAGUGAACCAGUACCGUGAGGGAAAGGCGAAAAGAACCCCGGCGAGGGGAGUGAAAAAGAACCUGAAACCGUGUACGUACAAGCAGUGGGAGCACAGAGCAAUCUGUGUGACUGCGUACCUUUUGUAUAAUGGGUCAGCGACUUAUAUUCUGUAGCAAGGUUAACCGAAUAGGGGAGCCGAAGGGAAACCGAGUCUUAACUGGGCGUUAAGUUGCAGGGUAUAGACCCGAAACCCGGUGAUCUAGCCAUGGGCAGGUUGAAGGUUGGGUAACACUAACUGGAGGACCGAACCGACUAAUGUUGAAAAAUUAGCGGAUGACUUGUGGCUGGGGGUGAAAGGCCAAUCAAACCGGGAGAUAGCUGGUUCUCCCCGAAAGCUAUUUAGGUAGCGCCUCGUGAAUUCAUCUCCGGGGGUAGAGCACUGUUUCGGCAAGGGGGUCAUCCCGACUUACCAACCCGAUGCAAACUGCGAAUACCGGAGAAUGUUAUCACGGGAGACACACGGCGGGUGCUAACGUCCGUCGUGAAGAGGGAAACAACCCAGACCGCCAGCUAAGGUCCCAAAGUCAUGGUUAAGUGGGAAACGAUGUGGGAAGGCCCAGACAGCCAGGAUGUUGGCUUAGAAGCAGCCAUCAUUUAAAGAAAGCGUAAUAGCUCACUGGUCGAGUCGGCCUGCGCGGAAGAUGUAACGGGGCUAAACCAUGCACCGAAGCUGCGGCAGCGACACUAUGUGUUGUUGGGUAGGGGAGCGUUCUGUAAGCCUGUGAAGGUGUACUGUGAGGUAUGCUGGAGGUAUCAGAAGUGCGAAUGCUGACAUAAGUAACGAUAAAGCGGGUGAAAAGCCCGCUCGCCGGAAGACCAAGGGUUCCUGUCCAACGUUAAUCGGGGCAGGGUGAGUCGACCCCUAAGGCGAGGCCGAAAGGCGUAGUCGAUGGGAAACAGGUUAAUAUUCCUGUACUUGGUGUUACUGCGAAGGGGGGACGGAGAAGGCUAUGUUGGCCGGGCGACGGUUGUCCCGGUUUAAGCGUGUAGGCUGGUUUUCCAGGCAAAUCCGGAAAAUCAAGGCUGAGGCGUGAUGACGAGGCACUACGGUGCUGAAGCAACAAAUGCCCUGCUUCCAGGAAAAGCCUCUAAGCAUCAGGUAACAUCAAAUCGUACCCCAAACCGACACAGGUGGUCAGGUAGAGAAUACCAAGGCGCUUGAGAGAACUCGGGUGAAGGAACUAGGCAAAAUGGUGCCGUAACUUCGGGAGAAGGCACGCUGAUAUGUAGGUGAAGCGACUUGCUCGUGGAGCUGAAAUCAGUCGAAGAUACCAGCUGGCUGCAACUGUUUAUUAAAAACACAGCACUGUGCAAACACGAAAGUGGACGUAUACGGUGUGACGCCUGCCCGGUGCCGGAAGGUUAAUUGAUGGGGUUAGCGCAAGCGAAGCUCUUGAUCGAAGCCCCGGUAAACGGCGGCCGUAACUAUAACGGUCCUAAGGUAGCGAAAUUCCUUGUCGGGUAAGUUCCGACCUGCACGAAUGGCGUAAUGAUGGCCAGGCUGUCUCCACCCGAGACUCAGUGAAAUUGAACUCGCUGUGAAGAUGCAGUGUACCCGCGGCAAGACGGAAAGACCCCGUGAACCUUUACUAUAGCUUGACACUGAACAUUGAGCCUUGAUGUGUAGGAUAGGUGGGAGGCUUUGAAGUGUGGACGCCAGUCUGCAUGGAGCCGACCUUGAAAUACCACCCUUUAAUGUUUGAUGUUCUAACGUUGACCCGUAAUCCGGGUUGCGGACAGUGUCUGGUGGGUAGUUUGACUGGGGCGGUCUCCUCCUAAAGAGUAACGGAGGAGCACGAAGGUUGGCUAAUCCUGGUCGGACAUCAGGAGGUUAGUGCAAUGGCAUAAGCCAGCUUGACUGCGAGCGUGACGGCGCGAGCAGGUGCGAAAGCAGGUCAUAGUGAUCCGGUGGUUCUGAAUGGAAGGGCCAUCGCUCAACGGAUAAAAGGUACUCCGGGGAUAACAGGCUGAUACCGCCCAAGAGUUCAUAUCGACGGCGGUGUUUGGCACCUCGAUGUCGGCUCAUCACAUCCUGGGGCUGAAGUAGGUCCCAAGGGUAUGGCUGUUCGCCAUUUAAAGUGGUACGCGAGCUGGGUUUAGAACGUCGUGAGACAGUUCGGUCCCUAUCUGCCGUGGGCGCUGGAGAACUGAGGGGGGCUGCUCCUAGUACGAGAGGACCGGAGUGGACGCAUCACUGGUGUUCGGGUUGUCAUGCCAAUGGCACUGCCCGGUAGCUAAAUGCGGAAGAGAUAAGUGCUGAAAGCAUCUAAGCACGAAACUUGCCCCGAGAUGAGUUCUCCCUGACUCCUUGAGAGUCCUGAAGGAACGUUGAAGACGACGACGUUGAUAGGCCGGGUGUGUAAGCGCAGCGAUGCGUUGAGCUAACCGGUACUAAUGAACCGUGAGGCUUAACCU